Molecule: ribosomal RNA, 466 nt
Filed under: uncultured bacterium
Lineage: Bacteria
Description: partial 16S ribosomal RNA
Rfam family: Bacterial small subunit ribosomal RNA
Source: RNAcentral
CUACGGGAUGCAGCAGUGAGGAAUUUUGCGCAAUGGGGGGGAACCCUGACGCAGCAACGCCGCGUGAGUGAUGAAGGCUUUCGGGUCGUAAAGCUCUGUCAAGUGGGAAGAACCUAUGCAGUGUUAAUAUCACUGUAUACUGACGGUACCACUGAAGGAAGCACCGGCUAACUCCGUGCCAGCAGCCGCGGUAAUACGGGGGGUGCAAGCGUUAUUCGGAAUCAUUGGGCGUAAAGGGCACGUAGGCGGCUUGGUAAGUCAGAUGUGAAAGCCCGGGGCUUAACCCCGGAAGUGCAUUUGAUACUGUCAGGCUUGAGUAUGGGAGAGGGAAGUGGAAUUCCUGGUGUAGAGGUGACAUUCGUAGAUAUCAGGAGGAACACCGGUGGCGAAGGCGACUUCCUGGACCAAUACUGACGCUGAGGUGCGAAGGCGUGGGUAGCAAACAGGAUUAGAUACCCCCGUAGUC